Molecule: RNA transcript, 1380 nt
Organism: Brachypodium distachyon (stiff brome)
Lineage: Eukaryota; Viridiplantae; Streptophyta; Magnoliopsida; Poales; Poaceae
Gene name: phosphoribosylglycinamide formyltransferase, chloroplastic
Exons: 7
Source: RefSeq, a predicted model, not a curated record
UGUUGUAUUCCAGUACCGGCCCAACUCUUCCCUCUGCAGCCGACACGACGUCCACUGGCCGUCGCGCCCGCGCUGCGCGUAGCAGGACCAGAUUCUCCCGCUCGACUACUCGACGGCGGCAGCCGGCGCUAGGGUUCGCCGCCGCCACUUGACCCAGGCAGCGGAAUGAAUCCCCCAAUGGAGGCGGCUGCCGCUCCCGCCGUCGCCUCCUCCGGCUACGAACUGCGUUGCUCGCUCAACCCCGCGCCGAAGCAGGAGAGGCGGAGCGCGCGGGUGGGCUUCUCGACCAAGCGGCCGCCCUGUGCCGUGAACUGCAGGGGGUUGCUGCUCCGUCCGAGCUCUCGCGUUUACGUCGCGGCAUCGGCAUCGAAAUCGGCGGUGAUGGAUAACGGCCCUGGGGAUUCCCGUGUCAGGAGGAAGAGGCUCGCAGUGUUUGUGUCUGGCGGGGGCUCGAACUUCCGGUCGAUCCACGAGGCCGCUCUGGGUGGACGGGUGAAUGGCGUUGUGGUUGCGCUCGUCACUGAUAAGCCAGGCUGUGGCGGUGCAGAGCAUGCGAGGUGCAAUGGCAUACCGGUGAUCCUUUUUCCGAAGUCGAAAUCAUCACCUGAGGGGGUGUCACUUACUGAACUCUUGAAUGCUCUUAGGAAUCUCAAGGUAGACCUCAUUCUACUUGCUGGUUACAUGAAGCUUAUACCUGUUGAGCUAGUUCAGGCAUAUCCAAGAUCGAUACUGAAUAUCCAUCCUUCACUCCUCCCGGCCUUUGGAGGCAAGGGUUACUACGGUUUGAAGGUGCAUAAAGCGGUCAUUGCAUCUGGAGCCAGGUACUCAGGGCCAACUGUGCACUUUGUCGAUGAGCAGUACGACACAGGAAAAACUUUAGCUCAGCGGGCUGUGCCUGUUUUAGCCAAUGAUACUCCGGAGAAAUUGGCAGCAAGGGUUCUUCAUGAGGAACACCAAGUUUAUGUUGAUGCAGUUGCUGCCUUCUGCGAGAAUCGAAUCGUGUGGCGGGAAGACGGUGUCCCAAUCAUCAGAAGCCGGAGAAACCCCGAUGAGUAUACCUAAUUCAUUAUGGCUGCCUCAACUCUCAGGGAUUCCCCGAAAACGAAUGAAGUUUGUAGGACCCCUGACAAUUUUCUCCAAGGCAUGGAGGUUCAUGCAGGUAAGGAAUGGGGAAAAAAAGGCAGAUUCAGAGAGAUAGCGGAAAAAUGUGAAAGUUUUGGGUUUGGGUACUGGCAGAAGGUUCUCUUCUCCAAAAUGCAACUUUCCACACCCAUUGCUUUUCCAUGUAUACUUUUAUAACAUCGCAAUUGCAUUGUACUAUAAAAUUAUCUACACUAACAAAUUAAAAUCUACUUACAUUAUUUUCGUAUGGUCAUUCAA